RNAcentral lists this ribosomal RNA (496 nucleotides) under uncultured bacterium. RNAcentral describes it as "partial 16S ribosomal RNA". It matches the Rfam family "Bacterial small subunit ribosomal RNA", at positions 29 to 507 of the family's 1533-position model. The record is from RNAcentral.
ACGCACGCUGGCGGCGUGCCUAAUACAUGCCAGUUGAGCGCUGAAGGUUGGUACUUGUACCGACUGGAUGAGCAGCGAACGGGUGAGUAACGCGUGGGGAAUCUGCCUUUGAGCGGGGGACAACAUUUGGAAACGAAUGCUAAUACCGCAUAAAAACUUUAAACACAAGUUUUAAGUUUGAAAGAUGCAAUUGCAUCACUCAAAGAUGAUCCCGCGUUGUAUUAGCUAGUUGGUGAGGUAAAGGCUCACCAAGGCGAUGAUACAUAGCCGACCUGAGAGGGUGAUCGGCCACAUUGGGACUGAGACACGGCCCAAACUCCUACGGGAGGCAGCAGUAGGGAAUCUUCGGCAAUGGACGAAAGUCUGACCGAGCAACGCCGCGUGAGUGAAGAAGGUUUUCGGAUCGUAAAACUCUGUUGGUAGAGAAGAACGUUGGUGAGAGUGGAAAGCUCAUCAAGUGACGGUAACUACCCAGAAAGGGACGGCUAACUACGUG